GGACUGAGAUACUGCCCAGACUCCUACGGGAGGCUGCAGUCGAGGAUCAUUUGCAAUGGGCGAAAGCCUGACAAUGCGACGCUGCGUGGAGGAUGAAGGCCUUCGGGUUGUAAACUCCUGUCAUGGGGGAACAGGCGAGGGGACCCAAUACGUCCCUUAGUUGAGUGUACCCCAAGAGGAAGCGACGGCUAACUCUGUGCCAGCAGCCGCGGUAAUACAGAGGUCGCGAGCGUUGUUCGGAUUUACUGGGCGUAAAGGGCGCGUAGGCGGCGGAGCGUGUCGGAUGUGAAAUCCCCGGGCCCAACCCGGGAAGUGCGUCCGAAACUGCCCCGCUGGAGGACGGAAGAGGGAAUCGGAAUAUAGGGUGUAGCGGUGAAAUGCGUUGAUAUCCUAUAGAACACCGGAUGCGAAGGCGGAUUCCUGGUACGUAUCUGACGCUGAGGCGCGAAAGUCGGGGGAGCAAACAGGAUUAGAUACCCUGGUAGUCCCGACCUUAAACGGUGCACGCUCGGGGUGGGGGGACUUCAACCCCCCCGUCCCUUAGCUAACGCGUUAAGCGUGCCGCCUGGGGAGUACGGCCGCAAGGUUAAAACUCAAAGAAAUUGACGGGGGCCCGCACAAGCAGAGGAGCAUGUGGCUUAAUUCGAUGCAACGCGAAGAACCUUACCUGGGCUUGACAUGGAGCUGCGCGGUCCGUGAAAGCGGACCUCCUUCGAGGGAGCUCCACAGGUGCUGCAUGGCUGUCGUCAGUUCGUGCCGUGAGGUGUUUGGUUAAGUCCACCAACGAACGCAACCCCCUUGGCCAGUUGCCAGCGGAUGAUGCCGGGAACUCUGGCCACACUGCCCGUUCACGCGGGAGGAAGGUGGGGAUGACGUCAAGUCAGUAUGGCCCUUACGCCCAGGGCCGCACACGUGCUACAAUGGCCGGUACAGAGGGAUGCGAAGCCGCGAGGCGGAGCCAACCCCCCAGAGCCGGCCCCAG
This 982-nucleotide ribosomal RNA is filed under the name human gut metagenome. RNAcentral describes it as "bacterial SSU rRNA". It matches the Rfam family "Bacterial small subunit ribosomal RNA", at positions 316 to 1291 of the family's 1533-position model. The record is from RNAcentral.